Molecule: non-coding RNA, 71 nt
Organism: Stegodyphus mimosarum
Lineage: Eukaryota; Metazoa; Arthropoda; Arachnida; Araneae; Eresidae
Source: Rfam
GCCUUCGUGCUGUAACGGUAACAUACUCGGCUCGUAUUCGAGAAGUCCACGUUCGAGUCCCAGCGAGGGCA